This 265-nucleotide long non-coding RNA is filed under the name Rattus norvegicus (Norway rat). Its description in RNAcentral is "long non-coding RNA NONRATT005447". Lineage: Eukaryota; Metazoa; Chordata; Mammalia; Rodentia; Muridae. The record is from RNAcentral.
GAGCUUCUGCUCAGAGAUGACAGAGCAGCAAGAGACGGACCCUUGACGGGCUCUGCAUCUACACUGCUGAGUCCUGACACUGCUGCCCUCAUCUUGGCACAACGAAGAAAUGUACCCAGUGGGGAACAGGUCCAGCAUGGUAGAGCCAACGAGGACAGGAGAAUGACUGUCAGAUGAUCCUGGCUGAGCUGCUCAAUUAAUUCCUUCCACAGUCACCCUUCAGUCGGGUUCUUAUGCGAAGUAAUAAAUCUCCUUAUCAUUUGAA